Molecule: long non-coding RNA, 1747 nt
Organism: Lolium perenne
Lineage: Eukaryota; Viridiplantae; Streptophyta; Magnoliopsida; Poales; Poaceae
Source: RefSeq, a predicted model, not a curated record
CAAGUGCUAGCCCACACCGGCCGUGCAAAAGUGUCGCCGCUCUUCGAGCAGGAAAGCCGCAUCCUUCUGAGUUUGGCGGAGCGGCGGCGGCGGCCGUCGGCGUGACCACCGGAGGUCGCGGGAAACCCCACGGAGAUCAGGAUUCCUCCGCUUGCGACGGCAUGCCCGCAGCUUGGGCGAGCGAUGAGGAUUCCUCCGCUCCUAGCCUCCUAGGAACUUACGGGAGGCGAGGCGAGGGGAGGCCAGAUUUCAGCCCUUCCUAUUUCACCCUACGAGAUUUUACUGCACACACUGUUGUACAAUGUUGAGAAAAGCUAUAGAGUGUUCAUGGUUGAAUCUGUAAGGAAAGGGGAUGAUGCUUUGGGAUGGCCUCGAGAAGCGACACAGUGCACAGAUGCCAAAUUGCAGUUCAGAGGAACAUCACCAGGGCUAUCAAAAGGGCAGAAGUUGAAGCAAUUCCCGUGAGUAGAAAGAGUCCUGAAAAGUUUUUGAAGUUUAAUCUGCUAGAGCCGAUGAUGGCACCGUCAUUCUGACAGGAAGGUUUGGGCUGAUGUCCUUGCUUGGGUUCAGUUUCCCUUCCGGCCGCCUUGCUCCGGCGACGCAAAGGCGUCGCUUCAAUGGUCUUGCUUACCUCUUGGAUGAUUUAGAAGCAUCGCAAUGCCUGCACCUUCGAAGGCACACACGCCUGCAAUGCCUCUUUGCUUAGACACAUCAACGAUGAGGCUAAGCUUUGGGUCUUCGCCCACGCCUUUUUCUUUUCUUUUCGAAAUGGGGUAUCCCCUGCCUCUGCAUCAAUUGAUGCAUACAGGUCUUCGCCCGCGCCUCUUGCCUAAGGCUUUGGUUACCUACAGACUGGGAUGUCCACUAAUCCCCUAUUUUCUUUAUUAGCCUGGGUGUGUUUUUGCUGUUUUAUCUUGGUUGCUCGUGCCCUUUUCUUAGGCCUGUAAAACUCCCUACCUUUUCAAUAUAUUAAAACGCAAGCUUGGCGUUUCCUCGAAAAAACAGUUUUCCAUUUCGGGGCUAUUUCGUAAAACCCCUUAAUUUGUUUCAGACUAGCAGUGGCACUAGAAAAGUGUAGCAAUAUAAGUGUAGUAAUGAAAUUAAGGAAAAAUGCACUGUUCAUUUGAUUCAUUUCACUGUAGAUAAAAUCUAUUUCUACAAUUUUAUUUAAUUUUGGUAAAAAGAAGUUCUGAAAUAUUUUGGUAUAAUCGGUUAUCAAUAUACUUUGCAACAGAAUUUGAACUGUGUAGAAUUUGGCUUUAUCACAGAAAUCCAAUUUAACAGUAAUUUAUUGUGUCCAACAAAUUUUUUUUUUUUGAGAUGUUCACAGUUUUUGAUAUGUACCUUCUGAUGCAGCUCGGAUAUUGUCUCCGUUGGAAUCCCUGAUGUGGAGAACCAGCUUUGUUGUAUAAUUCCUGUGGACUGCAUAGAAAUCCUCCAUAGCCAUCAGAAUGCUAGUACGUGCUAUUUUGCCCACCAGAGACUGCAGAUCGAGGAUAGCUCCAACAUUGAGUAUUCCCGUUCCACUUUGUGUUACAUUUUGAGCAACACUGAAGCUGAGGAACGGCAACAACAACAACAACAACAAGGUGGUCUUAGCUGCUGUGUCCAUCCUCGAGCUGUUUCUACAGAAUGUAUGGGGCCAGUGCAUAGUCUCUUAUAGUUAUGAUUCUUAUUAUUUAUCGCACUGACGGAGCAAUAAUCGUUCUCAUUGGCAUUAUUCUAACCAAGUCUUGGUCAGCUCUGA